CAGAUUGAACGCUGGCGGCAUGCCUUACACAUGCAAGUCGAACGGUAGAGUAGCAAUACUUGAGAGUGGCGAACGGGUGAGUAAUAUAUCGGAACGUGCCCAGUCGUGGGGGAUAACGUAGAGAAAUUUACGCUAAUACCGCAUACGAUCUAAGGAUGAAAGCGGGGGAUCGCAAGACCUCGCGCGAUUGGAGCGGCUGAUAUCAGAUUAGGUUGUUGGUGAGGUAAAAGCUCACCAAGCCGACGAUCUGUAGCUGGUUUGAGAGAACGACCAGCCACACUGGGACUGAGACACGGCCCAGACUCCGUACGGGAGGCAGCAGGUGGGGUAAUUUUGGACAAGUGGGCGAAA
RNAcentral lists this ribosomal RNA (351 nucleotides) under uncultured soil bacterium. RNAcentral's name for it is "bacterial SSU rRNA". It matches the Rfam family "Bacterial small subunit ribosomal RNA", at positions 25 to 380 of the family's 1533-position model. The record is from RNAcentral.